AUACUACUAUACACUGUAGUUAAAAGUUCUGGAUAAAAGAACAGAUUGAAGUGUUACCAUGGUUCAUCUAUAAAAGUGGGAUGCUGUUUGGAUAAUCUGGACAGUGUGGGAUUGCUGAGGGUGUAUCAAAAAUGGAGUACACUGAUAAGGAGGAACAUAAUGAA
Long non-coding RNA from Trematomus bernacchii (emerald rockcod), 164 nucleotides. RefSeq lists it as uncharacterized. The record is from RefSeq and is a predicted model, not a curated record. Lineage: Eukaryota; Metazoa; Chordata; Actinopteri; Perciformes; Nototheniidae. The transcript is spliced from 3 exons.